GCCGCAAUAGCUCAGUUGGUAGAGCAGUUGAUUUGUAAUCAUCAGGUCGUGGGUUCAAAUCCUACUUGCGGCACCA
This 76-nucleotide transfer RNA is filed under the name Candidatus Endolissoclinum sp. TMED37. Its description in RNAcentral is "tRNA-Thr". It matches the Rfam family "tRNA". Rfam says of the family: Transfer RNA (tRNA) molecules are approximately 80 nucleotides in length. Their secondary structure includes four short double-helical elements and three loops (D, anti-codon, and T loops). Further hydrogen bonds mediate the characteristic L-shaped molecular structure. tRNAs have two regions of fundamental functional importance: the anti-codon, which is responsible for specific mRNA codon recognition, and the 3' end, to which the tRNAs corresponding amino acid is attached (by aminoacyl-tRNA synthetases). tRNAs cope with the degeneracy of the genetic code in two manners: having more than one tRNA (with a specific anti-codon) for a particular amino acid; and 'wobble' base-pairing, i.e. permitting non-standard base-pairing at the 3rd anti-codon position. The record is from RNAcentral. Lineage: Bacteria; Pseudomonadati; Pseudomonadota; Alphaproteobacteria; Rhodospirillales; Rhodospirillaceae.